CCGGAGUGAUGUUCGGUCCAGAUCCAUUAAUCGGAUUCCCAACUGCUCACAGAGUCGCCCAGCCAGGUUAUGGCUUUGGUUCCAGGAUGCUGUCAACUUCGAAGAGUGUUCAGUGGAUUGGCCUCAAGCCCCAAAUAUGGUGCUAUCUGUGAUUGUGAAGCUGAAUGGAGGUCAUCGUGAUAAAUACUUGCAUAGAGGAUGACUGACCCUCUCAAAGCAGAACUGCAUGUGAGGUAACUGCGGAUGAAUAAUCAUAAGUAAGCCCUGAACUGAGAAUUUUUUAAAGUCUUCUAUUGUCUCAAGUAAGUAAUUUGUCAAGUGGCACCCACAUCUUUUGUCCAUGUAUAUCUAGUAAAAUCUCAGAGUUAAGAUGUUUCUUAUUAAAGUGGGGGUAGAGGGAAUAAUGUAAUUUCCUUUU
Molecule: long non-coding RNA, 418 nt
Organism: Suncus etruscus (white-toothed pygmy shrew)
Lineage: Eukaryota; Metazoa; Chordata; Mammalia; Eulipotyphla; Soricidae
Exons: 3
Source: RefSeq, a predicted model, not a curated record